RNAcentral lists this transfer RNA (73 nucleotides) under Camelus bactrianus (Bactrian camel). It matches the Rfam family "tRNA". From Rfam's summary of the family: Transfer RNA (tRNA) molecules are approximately 80 nucleotides in length. Their secondary structure includes four short double-helical elements and three loops (D, anti-codon, and T loops). Lineage: Eukaryota; Metazoa; Chordata; Mammalia; Artiodactyla; Camelidae. RNAcentral also lists the same sequence under 2 other names. The record is from Rfam by way of RNAcentral.
GUGGGUAUAACUCAGCGGUAAGAGUGUGUGCUUAGCAUGCACGAGCUCCUGGCUUCAAUUCCCAGUACCUCCA